CUGUGGAUGUUUCCAUCCGGUGACGUGAUUAAGAAAAGCAGACAAAUAACUAUGAUACCAGAUGUACUCCUUAAGCAAUAUAAUGAAGGGGGAGGCAGGACAUCUGGUUUUAAUUCCACUUCUGCCCCUCACUGACAGUGUAGCUUUAGGCAGAUCACUCCGAGCUUGGUUUUCAUAUCAUGAGAAAAAGGGAACUGGGAUUGUCUUUUCAGGGCAGAGUUUCUGUUUGUGCAUAUUUGCCAAAGUGGAGGUACAAAUUAUAGCACGGUGGAUGCUUGCGCCGGAAUGCCUGGGCUGGAAUUCUGGCUCUUCUGCUUAUCAACUGUGUAACUCCGGUCAAGUAGGAUUCACUGCUCCUGGUAAAGAUAUUUUCAAGGCAGUGAUCUCUCCAACCAGCAAAACCACUGAGCAUCAAGGUACGUUAGUCUGUAGUCAAGUACCUGCAUCUCUGGAAUUGUGUUGCCAACAGGGUAAAGUACACUUUCAAACAUACAUCCUUCUCUCUCCUUGCUUCUAUCUGCCUAUAAGCCCUACGUGGGAAGACCUCAGGGAAUUGGGUACUUGGGUAUGUCUGGUUCUCAGCCCUUGGCCCGUCAGUCUUGACUUCUAGCCUUGGCCCCAGAUCUAUCCUGACUCUGUUUGAUCUUGCUCUGGAAAGAGCAAACAGCUUGGGUGAUCCCUUGAUUCUCUGGCCUUCCCAGUAAAAGUCUAGUUAUACAGACAAAUUAUGAAUAUUCUGGGCAGCUGUGACCAAGAGAGAUAUGGCUAAGAGAGCCCUUCUGUCUUCCGCAAGAGAGCCUUGUCCCAUCUCCAUCCAGCUCAGCUCAAUCCCUGUAUUCAUUCUGUCUGCGUAGAGCCCCGCCCAGCACAUUGCUACCCAAGACCAAACUUUGAGUUCAAAUUCUGAAAUUACAUCCUUACCCCUCAAUGCAAUCUCUCACUUUUGAAAAUAGUCUCUUAAUUUAUAUUUUAAUGUUCUUUCCCACAUGUUUUAUAAUUGCUGUGUAUUGAGGAUAUAAAAUAAUUGUGUUUUAGAGAGACAAUUUAUGAUAAUGAUAGGGAGAGGAGACGCUUUCCUUGUCACUUCAAUUCAACAGGAUCAUUCUGUCGGCUUGCUAUAUGUCCCACGACACUUUGGCCUGUGCCUGCUGAUGAUUUGAGUAAUAUGGAGGGCAGGAGUGUGGGUCCUGCUUUGGUAAUGGAGUAGAGAGUUGCUGCUGCAUGGAACCUGGCCCACAUUCCAGACACUGUGGAUGUGUCUGAUUCAGGAUGAAGGAUAACUUUUCAUAGAGCCCUUGGUAGCCAUGUAUCACCUGGAAAGUGCAAAUGAUGUUCCCAGUAGGGCCUGUGAAGAAGCUCAAAAGUACCCCAAAAAGAAAGGGUUAGAUUUAAACUUUCUCAGGAGAGAGAGCAUAAAGCUGUCUUAGCUGAUUAACCAUUCAGUAGGAAUAUUCUUCCCUCACUGCCUUCAUUCCCUUCCCCUGUUUAGCCUUGGUGGCAUUAAAAUCAUCAUACCAGAUAAGGGAGAAGAAGUGGAGUCAUUAAGUGAAAAAAAAAAAAAAGAAGGAAGGGCUCUCUGUCUUUUGACUUAUCAAAAAUCCAACCCUGGGAAGAGAAAAUAAUUGUAAUUUGAGUGAAAAUCAGAGUUUAAUAGAUGGAAUUGGGCACUUCCCUGGACUUGAUCCUCCAAGUCCUGAUAUGGAUUGAGGGUAUGAAAAUGGAGUAGAUGAAUA
This 1733-nucleotide long non-coding RNA is filed under the name Callithrix jacchus (white-tufted-ear marmoset). Its description in RNAcentral is "lncRNA (ENSCJAG00000055818.2)". Lineage: Eukaryota; Metazoa; Chordata; Mammalia; Primates; Cebidae. The record is from RNAcentral.